AUUUAAAUUUUCCAUUAGCAUAGAAUGGGUGUCGAUUAAAUCCCUUUCAGCGUGGGAAUCCGUGAGGAAAAAAAAAAACAAAAAAACAAAAAAAACCCAAAAACCAACACUCCGCAAGCCCUUGCUCAAAUCUCCAACUGUUAGGUUCGACUACCCUGUGCCUGCAAAGAGAAAGAUAGUAAGUUUGCUGGGUGCCUAUUUUUUUUUUUUUUUUUAACAGCAAGACUUUUUUUUUUUUUUUUUUAAAGCCAUUUCAUCUCUGAGAGAUUCAAUGACCAUGUUUGAUGACAAGCCAGAUGGCAGCCGUUCUCCAGACCCGGUGCCAAGAAGCGUGACAGGAGCCGCAAUUUACCUUGCGCGGUGGAGGCCGGCUACAGAAGCGCCCCCGCAGCUGCGGGCCAGCAGGGCUGCUGCCGGUAGGUGCGCCCGCCCGCUUGGUUCCCUCCCAAUUUGGAUGGAGCAGGUAAACAAUACCAUGGGAAGGGGAAGUUUGGAAAGACGGAGCAAACAUAACCAAUCCGUCGACUGUUCCAGGAAGAAAUGUUUUUGUGGUAGAGUCCAUUAGGGAUUCAAUAGAGGCAAGUAACCACAAGAAACCAACCAGCCCCCCUCCCCUAAAGGUGGCAUUCAGUACUGACCUACUAAAAAGAUAAACACCAAACACAUUUGUUAUCCCAGAGGCUGGGGCUUGCCCUGUACUAAAACAAUCUGGAAACUGUGGGCACCAGCCUCCUAUCUUGUGCUACCUCUAUGACAACAUCGGU
RNAcentral lists this long non-coding RNA (764 nucleotides) under Felis catus (domestic cat). RNAcentral's name for it is "lncRNA (ENSFCAG00000047148.1)". Lineage: Eukaryota; Metazoa; Chordata; Mammalia; Carnivora; Felidae. The record is from RNAcentral.